CAGGGGUAAACCUAAGAAACCCAAAAGAUCGAACGGGGAGAUUCAUCGUCAGCGGCGUUGGCUUCGCGUCGGUGGGCGAUGUCCCGCGAGCUCGCUCGCGGGCACGCUACCGUGCGCGCACGUCCGACGUCGUCGUCGUGCACUUCUCCCCUAGUAGGACGUCGCGACUCGCUGGGUGUCGGUCUACGGCCCGAGUGCGGUGUCNNNNGCGUCGCCGG
Molecule: ribosomal RNA, 218 nt
Filed under: Mystrium sp. MG10
Lineage: Eukaryota; Metazoa; Arthropoda; Insecta; Hymenoptera; Formicidae
Description: partial 28S ribosomal RNA
Source: RNAcentral